UUUCCGUAGGUGAACCUGCGGAAGGAUCAUUAGAGAAUUUUGGAUUAGCUGAAAGGCUUUUUCCUAAUACUUUAUUCCAUAAACACCUGUGCACCUUUUUUUAUUAGUGUGAUGUUAGCUAUUAGCUGGUCAAACGGCGAACGCAAACUUCAUUCUAGUAUACACACACAAACAUAUUAGUCUUUGAAUGUAAUAUAAAUUGUAACAAAAUACAACUUUCAACAACGGAUCUCUUGGCUCUCGCAUCGAUGAAGAACGCAGC
Molecule: unclassified non-coding RNA, 262 nt
Filed under: uncultured fungus
Lineage: Eukaryota; Fungi
Description: sequence contains ITS1, 5.8S rRNA gene
Rfam family: 5.8S ribosomal RNA (bases 214-262)
Source: RNAcentral